UAAAUUCGGGGAUUGAAAAGGGGGAUUCCCCUUUCCGGUCUAGAGGGGGUGCUCAGAAACACGUAGUGUUUCGUCGAAGGGGGG
RNAcentral lists this small RNA (84 nucleotides) under Ruminiclostridium hungatei. RNAcentral's name for it is "Clostridium hungatei Clostridiales-2 RNA". It matches the Rfam family "Clostridiales-2 RNA". Lineage: Bacteria; Bacillati; Bacillota; Clostridia; Eubacteriales; Oscillospiraceae. The record is from Rfam by way of RNAcentral.